UGGUGUUGUUUGUAGCUUGUAGGUCCUUGCAGCUGGGUGCAGUCCACUAGCUGGGUGAGAGUAGGUGUCGCCGUAUCUGGAUUCGACGAUCGUAGUGCAUGAGGGACCCAGGUCAAAUAGCUAGGACAUCAGAUUGGAUUAACACCGACAUUGGCCAACAACUACAUUAAUGGGGACCAACAACGAAUAACUUUUGUUUCAUUUAUUUAAUUUUUAUAAUAUACAAGAAUGACUCCCCGUUCCUUUAUAAACUGUCUGUGCCUUGGGCAUCGAGCUGUCACUAUUUUAAAUGGGAGCUCACGUCACAUCCGGAUGGAGAUGCAAAGUAUUGCAUCACAGGCUGAAAUUGGUUUUAAACCCGCAAGUUGCUGUGGUGACAAAGAUGACAAGGCAUGAAUUCGAGCAGCAAAGAUAUCGCUUUUCAGAGCUCUCAGAAGAGGACCUAAAACAACUGGAAAUAGGGGAUUGAGGUGUGUGUGGAGAAGAGAGGGGAAUAUGAUGAAGAAACAGUGCGAUGAGCAGACGCCAUUAUCUCGGCAGGGGGCAAGUGUUCCCGUUUUAAGAGUUUGAGAAUAAUAGCUGAUCCUUUAUGUGGCCAUUGUGAAAGCGCUAAUAGUGUUUCAGUUGGUGACGUCACUCGCUCUGAGACCUAGAAGUAGUUGUUCCCCUUGCUCUGCAAGGGCCGUGGCUUUUGUGGAGCGAUGGGUAACGAUGCUUCGAGGGUGACUUUUGACGUGUGCAGAGCGUCCCUGGUUCGCGCCCAGGGCGAGGGGACGGACGUAAAGUCUAUACUGUUACAUUUACAUGGUCACGUUCCCGCUGAGGGGUAAAAAAACAAUUCAAAAUAAAUUGCGUUCAUACAGUGCUCAGAGAAGGGUCAACUCAAUUCAUGAAUAGGCCAAUUUGUUUGCCCCCUUCUGUUAGGGGAUGGGACCAUACUACUACUUGUUGCCAGUAAGGUUUUCAAUAAAGACCAAUCGGUUCUUGGGGUUAACACAGACCCUGAAAGGUAAUAACUCACAACAAAAUUGGUUAGUGAAUAUAGUGGUGAUAUGGGUUUGGGCAGGUGGUAAGUUUACUUGCCUGGUAAGGUUCUUAGCUAGUUUAGAAGAGACAGGUUGGGGAAUUCAUUGUUGUGAAUUUCAGCAUUUUUGUUAUAGAAUGAGAGGAGAUAAAUAACUUUAUCUAGUUUGAUGAAAAAAGUGCUCAUAUUACAAGUGUCUUUUUUUUCUUCUUUUUUUUUGUUGCAUGAAGGUCAGAGGGACAUCUGUGCCUUCCUGUGUGUUAAACACAUGCCUUCCCUGAGGCACUACAGAAACUCAGUUGUGGUCAGUUCAGGUGGGAUUUUCCCUUUCACUUCCCUGACCAGAAUACUGCUGUUAGGAAGGCUAUGUUUAUGUUAGAGGUCGACCGAAUAUGAUUUUUCGAUACCGAUUAUUGGAGGACCAAAAAAAGCCGAUAUCGAUUAAUUGGACGAUUUUAAUAAAAAUGUAUAAUAA
This is a long non-coding RNA of Oncorhynchus mykiss (rainbow trout), 1499 nucleotides long. RefSeq lists it as uncharacterized. NCBI's taxonomy places the organism in Eukaryota, Metazoa, Chordata, Actinopteri, Salmoniformes, Salmonidae. The record is from RefSeq and is a predicted model, not a curated record.